RNAcentral lists this long non-coding RNA (243 nucleotides) under Carica papaya (papaya). RNAcentral's name for it is "long non-coding RNA (CPAP_LNC004803)". The record is from RNAcentral. Lineage: Eukaryota; Viridiplantae; Streptophyta; Magnoliopsida; Brassicales; Caricaceae.
AGCAGUCUCAUCAACUACCGAACCACUCUGAUGUAAUGUUUUCUUGUUUACUUGACUUCCAUAUUCAGCUUUGUCUUUUUGAACUCCAUCGAAGGUUAGGUCCUUCUUCCCGUCUCCUUGAAAAUUAAAACGAAAUAUGUUAGGACUUUGGGUCACAGAUUCAAUCUUCAGCUCCUUUUCCUUGUCGUACUCUGCCGUCUUACCCAUCGACAGGGUAUUUUCUCUUUCCGUCACAUUUGGCUC